Molecule: long non-coding RNA, 691 nt
Filed under: Homo sapiens (human)
Lineage: Eukaryota; Metazoa; Chordata; Mammalia; Primates; Hominidae
Description: HSALNT0406627
Source: RNAcentral
ACUGCGCCAUAUGACCAGGCUAAUAAACAAAUCACUGGUUUAUAUUACUUGAAGAGAACAGUUGACAAAAUUUAACAUAAACACUCUUCGGAAGGGAAACCACACAUGCUCACCACACACGCGCACACACACAUACACACACACACACACCACUUGCAGUUUCUGUGGGGCCCCAGAGAGAGUUUAUCUUUCAUUCCACUGUGCCCCAACCAUGCUGAACAGAAGCAGCUGGCGGUCUGAAUCCCUGCAGAAAUGGUGUCAGAAGGACUGAGCCCCACCCGACAUCAAUGAGAAUGCAUAAGUGCUACAGGCUGGAACUAGGAAACACCCCACUUCCCCCACAUAACUCCUUUGAAAGAGUGGCUGAAGUUUUCAACUCAAGAUGGUCACCCUGCUUAUCACACAGAACCAGAUGCUUCAGCACCUUGGAGAGCUCCACAAGACCCACAGACCCGGGCCCCCCAACCACAAGAAAUAUAAUAAAAUACUGCUUUGAGACUCAAUUUCAGCACUUAGCUACAUAAAUAAAAGUUCCAGGAAGACUAAAUCUUAGAACCAACAGGGAGAUGAGCACUUCCAGAGUUUCAUCAGCUUCCAAAUGAUAUUUAAAUAUGAGAACGUGAGGCCUGGCUGGGCCUGUGGUGAAAUCUCCAUAACAGCAUCCUUGUAAUAAAUGCUGAAAUUCAUGCAA